CCCUGUGUUGUUAAUUCUUGAACAUGCUUCCUGUAAAUUUCAUCACCUUUAUUCAAAAUGUAAUCCAGGUUCAGUGUGUUUGAAUCAAAAUUUAAAGAAGAAAGUGAUAAGAAAAACUAAGCAAUUACAAGUACAUUGGUUUCCCCUGCUUUGAUCAGCAAAUUUUGUGGCAUACUGGUCAAAAGUUCCAAAUUUAAUAAAGUUUGCAUUAAAAGAAUUGUAAUAUUUUGAUACUCCUUGUUCUGAAUUAGUUUUAAAUUGGUCAUUUUGGUCUUGCAACAGAUUAGUUUGGAUAAAACAAUGAGAAUCUUUUUUGGCAUAACUAUUGUUUGAUUCAUUUGACAGAAUAUCUGUUUGUAUGUGACAAGUUUCUU
Molecule: long non-coding RNA, 374 nt
Filed under: Mytilus galloprovincialis (Mediterranean mussel)
Lineage: Eukaryota; Metazoa; Mollusca; Bivalvia; Mytilida; Mytilidae
Source: RNAcentral